AUUGAACGCUGGCGGAAUGCUUUACACAUGCAAGUCGAACGGCAGCACGGACUUCGGUCUGGUGGCGAGUGGCGAACGGGUGAGUAUGUAUCGGAACAUGCCCAGUCGUGGGGGAUAACGUAGUGAAAAUUACGCUAAUACCGCAUACGAUCUAUGGAUGAAAGCGGGGGAUCGCAAGACCUCGCGCGACUGGAGCGGCCGAUAUCAGAUUAGGUAGUUGGUGGGGUAAAGGACCACCAAGCCAACGAUCUGUAGCUGGUCUGAGAGGACGACCAGCCACACUGGAACUGAGACACGGUCCAGACUCCUACGGGAGGCAGCAGUGGGGAAUUUUGGACAAUGGGCGAAAGCCUGAUCCAGCCAUUCCGCGUGCAGGAUGAAGGCCCUCGGGUUGUAAACUGCUCUUGUACAGAACGAAAAGGUUUCUACUAAUACUAGGAGCUCAUGACGGUACUGUAGGAAUAAGCACCGGCUAACUACGUGCCAGCAGCCGCCGUAA
RNAcentral lists this ribosomal RNA (499 nucleotides) under uncultured bacterium. RNAcentral's name for it is "partial 16S ribosomal RNA". It matches the Rfam family "Bacterial small subunit ribosomal RNA", at positions 30 to 523 of the family's 1533-position model. The record is from RNAcentral.